This 231-nucleotide ribosomal RNA is filed under the name uncultured bacterium. Its description in RNAcentral is "partial 16S ribosomal RNA". It matches the Rfam family "Bacterial small subunit ribosomal RNA", at positions 103 to 334 of the family's 1533-position model. The record is from RNAcentral.
CGGGUGAGUAACGCGUGGAUAACCUGCCUCACACUGGGGGAUAACAGUUAGAAAUGACUGCUAAUACCGCAUGAGCGCACAGUACCGCAUGGUACGGUGUGAAAAACGCCGGUGGUGUGAGAUGGAUCCGCGUCUGAUUAGCCAGUUGGCGGGGUAACGGCCCACCAAAGCGACGAUCAGUAGCCGACCUGAGAGGGUGACCGGCCACAUUGGGACUGAGACACGGCCCAA